This 2856-nucleotide long non-coding RNA is filed under the name Carica papaya (papaya). RNAcentral describes it as "long non-coding RNA (CPAP_LNC001242)". Lineage: Eukaryota; Viridiplantae; Streptophyta; Magnoliopsida; Brassicales; Caricaceae. The record is from RNAcentral.
UACGACAUUAAAAUUAAAUGCAGAAUUUCAUCCCUUACAUAAAUAUACAAUCAGGAGUAUAUUGAGGAAAAUACAAUUAUCCUCUUUCUUUUUAAGGUUCUAGAUACAUACAAAAUACACAAUUCUAGCCCCAACAAAAUACAAGCAAAAUACUUUUUCUUCAUUUCCUAAUCCUCUCGAAAGGGAUUCAAAUAAGGUUUAGUUGGGAGUCUUGUCAUAUCAUCGGAGGAGGGAGGUGAUUAGGGUGAAUUCCAAAUACUCAGAACAACAGUAAUAAAAUAACAUAAAUACCAUUUUAAAAACGUAUCUAUGCAAUUAUUUCUCAUAAAUCACUAAGCAAUUAAAACCACUAUUUUUCCCUUUUUUCAUAUUUACACAUGGUUACAUCAAUUUAUGCUUGAGUGCACACAUCUCACAUCUUAUCACAGUAUGGAUCCUUAAUGCGCUCAAUACUAUAUUCAAUCACUUAACAUCAUUACAUAAGACUCAACUGGACUCUUCUUUAAAGUUAUUAAUUAUCAAUUAUUAUCCUUGAUUUAAAUUUCACCAUUUUCACACCAUCGUGCAAAGACUCUCAAACCUAUUCCAAAGAGGGCAUAAGGGAUACCAACUAUGAAUGGGGUAACACAUAAACAAAUUAACACAUUAUCAUAUUGGUCUAGCUUCCCAUAAGAAAUCAAGUAUACAUAAGCCCAUUCAUAGGAUAAUAGUUCUGAAACAUCUUAAACACACAACCCCUUAAAGGAAACUAGUUUAGCGAUUUUGACUGGACACUUUGUUAUUUUUAUUAGACAUUAAGGUAUUUAUUUCUUAGCUUUCCUACCUAACAAUUGGCUUUAAAAUAUUAUCUAAAUUUCUUCCUAAUUACUUUUUUGAAGCCUUACUUUUACUUAGAUCAUUUUACCCCUAGUUAUAUUUUACCAUUUUAAUUCUUUUGUCAGCAUAUCUUUCCCCUAAUUUAUCCAUAAUUCACGAAACUCAUUUCGUAAGGCCUUUUGUUUACUUAAGCCCCUUUUUUAAUUUUUUUUAUGUUCAUGUUGUUUUUCUCAAUCUUAAAUAUUUUUGUCAUUUUUCCAAAUCUCCUCUUGUUAAAAAAUUUUAUUUGAAUUUUACAUGUCAAUCUCUUAAUUUGAUUUCUCAUUUUAAAUUAUAAUUUUUAAAUUUUCUUUUCAAAUUUCUCAUUUUGCCCACAAUAGUGGGAUUUCCCCUCGAACCCAUACACCCGACACACAAGUGCAAAAACUCAUGAGGAGCCUCUUGGUGUAUACAUGCUUGAUAGUCUCACACGGCUCGCUAGUUUGCCACGCGGAGCAACAUGUAUUGCGAGGCAUGUGGCUCGACAUUAUGGGCUGCCCUAGCAAAUGUCCUUUCAUGCACCUCGGUCAUGGCGACCAUGUUCACUCGCAGACCCUCUCAGCACACAAGGCGCUUAUCAGAGUCCUUCUCACUUGCGCGCAGUGAGCUGCACGUACACAACGCGCUGGGUGCAUUUCCCAACAUACUUGGGUGCCUGGCAAUGUCUUGCGCGCACAUCAUGAAUGGCAUGACCAUGUUCUACCUUUUUCUAGUACUUUGGUGCCUAUAUAGCAUAGGACAAAGGCUACCGACCUCUUCUUUUGAUCUGUGCUCAUUUUGAUAUGUUUUUUGCAUCUGUUACUCAUUAAACAUCAUCAUUUAAUCAUCAUAAACAACUUACACAAAAAAUUAAACACAGAAAACUCAUUAAAUCAAAAUAAAGUGCAUGGACACACUCACCCUCCACUGUCAAGUUAAAAUCGAAGCCUUUUCAUGAUUUUUGGAAGAUUCUUACCAAUUUAAUGCUUCUAAAAAUCCUAUUACUUGCGUCAAUUAGAUUAUUGAAGUUCUUACCUUCUUGAAGACUCAAUUUUGGGCCUAAAUGCAUGAGAGAAUAUGAGUUUCUAAAUGGGAAAUCAACUACAACUCAAGGAGGUUGUCAUUGCAAAAUAAAGACUAUUUUUGUGCUUAUUUAUGGUUUUUGAAAUAGGAAAUCACCGUAGAAAAUUAUUUACAAGAGUUUUAAGUUAAGGCUUACCUAUUUAAAACUUAAAACCGAAAGAGAGGACUCGGUUACCUAAAAUAGGUUGUGUGAGCAUUCCUGGGCAGAACUGAGCUUUUAUUUAAAGAAGUAUGAGUUUUUAAGCUCUAACUAAAAGAGGAUGAAUGAGUAAGUGAAUUGGAAGUCAAAAACAUAAGAAACUAUAGAAGAGCUAACCUAAUUCGAAAGAGAAGUGUCGUUGCAGAACAACAACCCGACCUGUACAGCCUUUGUCAUUCACUUCCUCUCUCUCUCUCUCUCUCUCUAUCUAGUUCUUACUCUCUCUAGUCAAUAAAAAAUGAAGAAGAAGAGCAAAGAGAUGUAGUUUUAAAUGGAAUUUCAGGGAGAUUCUAGCCUUCGAAUGCAUAUGAUCCAAGUCGUUGAUGGUGGUUGGUGGCCAACCAUUUUGGAUAAGGGAGUUAAUUGGUAGCCACUUUGUGGGAGAAAGAAGGGAACUCGCCUGUCACACAAGAACUCAGUGUUAGUGGCAUCCCAUUAGGAAACAGUGUAGGGAAACUGACUUACAUGCCCAAAGGGAUGUCCAUGGUAGGGAGUGCCCUGCCUGCGAGUUCACUAGUGCUAUGUUCCCCUUGCUCGCAUGGAUAGGCAUGCGUGAGGGAAAUUUUUCACGUGAGGUUGCUUGCUAAUGGGAAGUGGUGCUACAAAACAUAGCUUGUGCAUGUAUGUCUGCAAUUGGGGCACUUUUAUAAGCCUACACGCAGAUGCUGUGCGUUAGGGUUGCCCGCGAGUGGGGGAUUUUCUGUCCAAUUAAUGUGGGUCAAGUAGGGCAAAUUCUAGGU